Long non-coding RNA from Homo sapiens (human), 7797 nucleotides. RefSeq annotates it as FAF1 antisense RNA 1. Lineage: Eukaryota; Metazoa; Chordata; Mammalia; Primates; Hominidae. The record is from RefSeq and is a predicted model, not a curated record. The transcript is spliced from 6 exons.
CCAAUAAUGAUUUAUUUGGGUCCAGUUGAGUUACCUAAAAAGAUGAAGAACACAUAUUCAAAAGACUGAAACAAGCACUAUAUUCUCUACAUGGCCUUCAUUUUAUCUAUGCACACUGAUUCUGAAACUAUGCACUGGCACGAAGAGUCUCGCAGUAUCUUAGUUGAUCUUCAAAAUAACCUGCAAGGCAGGUGUUGUUAUUCUCAUUUUAUAAAUGAGGAAACCAGGGCUCAGGAAAAUCAAAUCUCAUAGUCAAGUUUGGUGGAGGUACCUUUCUUGCACAGCUCAGCCUGGCUGGCAGAACAGGGGGCCCUUGGGAAAGGUGCUGGUUAACAACUGACUGGCAUUCCUAGAGACCUCUGCUUGGUUAGCCCCUAAUAGAGGGGAGGGACUCUUCUGCUUGGUGGGACUACAGCUAAGCCUUUGGGGCUGAUCUUCCUCUUAGAACUACAUUAUAAACUGUAGAAUGGCCAUUCCACCAUGCCCAACGAUGAAGAUCUCCCCUGGUGAGGGGAGGCAUAUCAUACCCUUGUUGAUGGUAUAUUUAGUUUGGAAAAAAAACAGGCAAUGUCAUAAUACAACUUUAUAUUUUAAAAAUUAAAAAAAAUCAUAAUUUUGUAAUAUGAACUAUUGAAAGUCAAGCUAGACAAAAUCUUGGCUGAGUGGGAUACGUUAAUCAUACAGGGAUCCUAAAUUAGGUUUAUGCCCUCCUAGGCAACGGGCAGGGAUGGGACAUGAAGGUCUUCUGAAUCUGCGAGUGAGAGAAGAAACAAAACUUUCCUGUUUAUCAAAAGAGGUCACAAUGUUUAAAAGUUGAGUAAUACUGGUUUAGUGGAAACGACACAGGCUUUGGAAUUAGAAAGACUCUACUUUAAAUUACAGCUGUGUUGGCUAUCAGCUUUGUGGCUUUGGAGUUAGUAUCAAUCUUGCAGGACUCAUUGUGAGAAUUAAAUGAGAAAAAAUAUAUAAUUAGCAAAGUGUCUUGCCCAGAACAGGUGUUCCAUAAUGACUGCUGUGUGUGAGAGCAACUGUAAAGAUGGUGGACACACAGAUAAAUGGGCAACUCCAAGUGUGUGAUGGGAGGGCAAGCAAUCUCUAGUCAGGCCUGAGGCUGCUGCUCUGCUGCUCUGGGCCUGACUGCAGCACCUGAGGCAGGCAAUCUUAUCUUCUGCUUAACUCAAGCUGCUCCUAAUAAGAUGGUUCUGGUGUCUUCUUCCAUGGAGGGGUGGGGGAUAUGGGGAAGUGGAGGCCCUGGGGGCCAAGGCCAAGUAUCAAAGGCAGGCUGGCAAGGGGAAGGGGAAACUAUCUUCAGCUGUAUCUAGAUGGAAACCUGGUAUGCUCAGGAGGGUCUUUAAAAAGACACAUCCGCCCCUGGAAUCCUCUCCGCUUAUAAGGAACUCAGAGCAAAGCACACUGUAUUUGUAUCUCUUGGGUUGUGGGCAGAUGGACAGGCAAGGAGUGGGAAGGGCCUAGCCUGUCUAUCUUCCAAUGCACUGAGGGGCAAGCUGCUGGCAAAUGUUUACCCACUUCCCCAAUUAACGUACAAUACUCAUUGGCUUCUGUCAACAAACAGAGCUACUCUGCCUCUGCUUCUCAUUCGUUGGCAUUUUCUGCCCACCUGCUUCUGAUAUUGUUCUUAAUUAACAUGCCAGAGCUCUUCCAGCAUCUUCUACUUUGUUAUUUGUGGCUUGUAAAUAUGAUGUUUGUUGGGAGAAACGAUCAUUGUAAUCGUGUGCUAGGAAGCAAAAGAGGAUGGGAGGCUGAAGUAUCAGGCCUGAGUUGCACCAUGCUGGGGUUGUCAUAUGCAAGAUUAGAGGUUCAUAAACCACACCCAGUUUUCAUAUGAGAAAGCUGCAUCCAAGAAAAGUGGCUUUCUUCAGUCACUUUGAGUGGGAGAGCUGGAAUUUGAGAAGGAGGAAACUAAAAUUUCUUGAACGCCUACUAUAUGCCAGACAACAUAUCCAUACAACAACCAUGCAAGACAGUGGAGAUGAUUAAAUUGAAGCUCAAAGUGGUUACCACUUGUUUACAGCCAUAUGGUUAAUAAGUGUCUAUAAAGCACAGUGGUUAAAAAGAGUGAAGCAAACCUAGAGUCAAAUCCUAGGUCUGUCACUUCCUACCAGUAUGACUUUGAAGAAAUUAUAUAACCUGAGAGCCAGUUUUCUCACCUGUAAAAUGGGAAUCAUAGUUUCUCCUUCAUAGGUUGUUGUGAUUAUAGUUAAAUGGAAUAAUGUUGGUGCAGCCUCUGGUACAGUGUCUGAGCCAAUGAGUACUCAGUAGGUUGUAGCCAUUACUGACUGGGUAGGGGCCCUGAUCUUUCUAACUUCAAAGCUGCAGCUCUUUCACCAAAACCUCCUGGAACCCUGAUCUAUACCAGGCUAUCUUUCUUGUUUCUUCCCCACGGCCCAGCAAGAGUGCCCCCCCUUUCCUGAUCAGGUAAUGCCUCCAUCUCUGGAGACCCCCGUCUACAGCCUCAGUGAGGCUGUGUCACCAUUGGAUUGCUUCAAAGCAAACACGGCUGUGCUGGCUGCUCCCUCUGGUGCCCUAAAAAUAAAAUCAAGCAAUUUUUUUUCUUUGAAGGUCAUUUUAGGUAAGAAUUUCAAAGUGAGCAAGGACAAUCUCUAUUUCCAUUCUCAUUUGCCUGGCUUGGACAAACCAAUUGAGAGAAACCUAGGGGGAUGUAGGACAUCAUGUUUCUCCCCAGCAAGAUGGUGGCCAUGCUGUGAAACUGUCCUGCAGUGCUCUGGGCCCCAUUCAAGAAGGACAUGGAGCAUGCCAGGAGGGACCUCCUGCUUAGGAAAGAGCCUAAAAGCUAUGUUCUCCGAGAGACAGCUAAAGAAUGGGAGAUAUCUCCCUGGAGAGGGGGCACUGAGAAGUGGUGGUGUUGAUGUUGCUAUAUGGGUAGGGAGGGGGCUGUGUCAGCCCUCUUUGAAUAUCUGAAGGGCUGAUAAGUAGAAGACAGAGCAGAUGUGUUCUGUGCAGCUCUGGGGGAUACAGCUAGGGCUGGUGAAAUAAAAUCACAGGGAAGCAGAACCCAGCUAGUCAGAAACAACUUUUUACAGACAGACAGCAGCUGCCGACGUGGCUACUACUGCUUCUCUUAUCUUUCUCCCUCCUCUCUCUGUUCUUUAUUUUCUUGUUCUUCAGUCAUCAUCAUAGCAGCAACUAUCACUUAUCGAGUGCCUACUAUGUAGCUGGGAACCAUGUUAAGUACUUUAUAUACUUUUUAUAUAGUACCUUAACUAGACCUCACAACAGCUCAGUGAAAUAGGUACGAUUCUUUCCAUUUUAUGGAUGAAGAUACCACAGGUUAUCUUGCCCAAGGCUGCAGACAGAAUAAGGUUUCAUACUCAGGUCUGACUCUAAAGCUGAUGAUAUGAAUGAUUCUGACUAACAUGUCAACAGGCUGCCUUGGGGAAAUGGAGGUAGGGAGGGUGGGAUGGGUGAACUCUCUGCUGUUCCCAGAAGCACUCAAAUAGGGGCUUACUUGCAGAUGAUGACUAUAGAAGCUAAUGUUUAUUGAGCAUUUACUUUGUGCCAGGUAUAGUCCAAGCACUUUAAUAUAAAAGGUAGGUUAUCUGAGGUAGGGACAAUUAUUUUUAUUUUAUUUCAAUAGUUUUUGGGGAACAGGUGGUUUUUGUUACAUGGGUAUGUUCUUUAAUGGUAAUUUCUAAGACUUUGGUGCACCCGUCACCCAGGCACUGUAUAUUGUACCCAAUGUAUAGUGUUUUAUCCCUCAUCCCCUGCAACCUUCCCGCUGAGUCCCCAAAGUCCAUUAUAUCAUUUUUAUGCCUUUGCAUUGAGGUAAGGACAAUUAUUAUCCCCAUUAAGCCAAAAAGCCAAUGGAGAAAUUGAGCCCUGGAGCAGAUUAAGUAACUUGCCCAAGGUCUCAGAGCUAUUAAGGGCAGAGCCAGGCUGUGAAUCAAGGCAGUCUAGAUUUGGAACCCGCUACAUUACAUUUUCAGAGAUAUUGCUGAGAGUAGUUUCUAUAUAGAGAAAGAAGUUGGAUGAGAUGAUCCUGAAGUUGUUUCUAACCAAGCUUCCGGGAUAUAAGAUCUUCACUUUAAGAAUGGCAAUAGGUCAAGGGUCAGGAAAAAAGUCCUGAAAUGUUUAUAAAAUAUGAAUACAAAAACCCAAUCUGAGCUUGUGUUGUGCCAUUUACUUGGGACUUUACUGAAUUAUCGACUCUCUAAAUCAACAAAGAAGCCCACCUUUUGGGACUCCUUGGGGGAGAAGGGUCAUUCUCAGAUAAGAGGUAUGGCUUGAUUUUGUCUAUAGUUAGAAAAGGAAAGUCAACCAUCUUGACAUUUUCUUCACUAUACUUAGAAAACCUGAAUGGAUAUAUUUUCUCAUUAGCUUAAUCAUUUAGCAAAUUGGCUUUGUGAAACAUGUUUAUGUAACAAAAAUGGGACAGGUGUUCUUUGCCAAACAGAGCUAUUCCUUUCUAGAUCAAUUUUCUUAGCAGACUGAAAUUUCAUAUACUGUUUCUAUUACUUCCCUGGGCUUCAGUUCCUUUUCUAAAAAGCCUAUCACUGCUGUUGAGAAAAAUGUGAAUCCAUGGGACAGAUUCUCAUCCUAGGCCACACUGCGAAUCCUGGAAUGUUUGGGGUUGUGGGGGGGAAGCUCCUUAAAUGCCAAAUUAUCUAACCCCUUCAUUUCAUAGAAGGGCGAUCUAAAGCUUAGAGAGGUCAAGUGACUUAGCUGAGGUCACACGGUUGAAUAGGAGCAGACGCAGCACUGCAUGUGCAACACCCACAGAGUUUCUGACUUCUGUUUUGGGGCUCUUUCUAGUCACAUCCUUCUGCCUCUCACUUUUUAGUACCUGAGCAUAAACUACAGGAUGAGUAUCACUAAUGUAAAAAUCCCAAAUAUUUCAAAAUCCAAAACUUUUUGAGUGCUGACAUGAUGCUCAAAACAAAUGCUCUUUGGAGCAUUUCAGAUUUUGGAUGUUCUGAUUUGGGAUGCUCAACCAGUAGGUAAAUGUUCCAAACUCUUAAAAAAUCCAAAAUCCAAAACAUUUCUGGUCCCAUGCACUUCAGAUAAGGGAUACUCCACCUGUACUAUUAGGCUGGGAGCGACCUGAGGGCAGGAGCUGAGUAAUACUAAAAAGAAUAGCAGCAGCAAUACUUGCAUAGCCCUUCAUAGUUUGUAACAUAUUUACACAAACAUUAACUCACAAUCAUGUGAGGAAGUUAGAUCUUUUACAUUUAAUAUUUCUGAGGUAAUGCUUUUAUUUUGAAAUUGAAUAAAAGAAAGUCUGGAUCUAAUAUUUCACUUUUAGAAAAAAUGCUAGGUUGGAUUUUUUUCUUCUUUUUCUUUUUAAUGUUCCUAAUGCAUUUAACAGUUUAUGGGGGAAAUGCAUUGCGGUAGUACUUGGAAAUCAGCCCCACUCUGUAGAUUAGGAAACAAGACCCAGAGACUGGAUUUGUCUAUGAUCACAUAGGUAAGUGGUAGAGGCAGAACCAGAACCCAGGCCUUCUGCUGGUUCCCUAAUAAUUUUCAUAGUAACUCCCCACCUCUUACAAGUAGCCUAAAAGGGUUCUCUCUCAUUCCAUGAGUUACAGGCUUUAGGUUCAAUAUGUGGAACUGGAAAACAAUAAACCAACAGAGGCUUCUCAAAACAUAUUCCUGCUUUUUUUUUUUUUUUUUUUUUUGAGAUGGAGUCUCCCUCUGUUGUCCAGGCUGGAGUGCAGGGGCACGAUCUCGGCUCACUGCAAGCUCCGCCUCCCGGGUUCAUGCCAUUCUCCUGCCUCAGCCUCCCGAGUAGCUAGGACUACAGGUGCCCGCCACCACGCCUGGCUCAUUUUUUGUAUUUUUAGUAGAGACGGGGUUUCACCGUGUUAGCCAGGAUGGUCUCGAUCUCCUGACCUAGUGAUCCGCCCGCCUCGGCCUCCCAAAGUGCUGGGAUUACAGGCGUGAGCCACCGCGCCUGGCCUAUUCCUGCUUUUAAAAUAAAAUUUGCAUUUGAGAAAGUUCCAGCAUCUUAAAGGCAGAAAAGCUCUUGUUACCAAAUUUUGUCUAGUAUUUGUUUGCUUGCCUUGCCUCUGGUGACCAAUAACUUUCAUUCUCUAGACUGUGUGCUGAUAGCACUGUGAGUUGAAGGGACCCUGAAUAGCCUGACUCUCAGGAGCAACCCUUUGCCACGCUGGCAGAAAAUCUGUAAGUCUCUUUGAGUCCACACAGAGAUCAAACUCCAAAACCUCAUCCAUCUCAUCUUACCUCUUACGCCAAUGUCAAGGACAAGCAGGUCUAAUCCUCUACAUUAGACACAGACAGAGCAAAAUAAGUUUCUCCAAGCUUUAGGAAAUCCAUCCCUUCAGUUAUAGACUAUGUACUUCAGAAAACCCUCUCCUCUCUGAAUUCCUCUGUGCUGACUGCCAAGGCUGUACAUUAUCUAAUGUUAUCAGGAUAUAAAGGACCAGACUAUAUGGGUUCCAGUCCUGACUCUAGCAGUAUGACUUUGGACGAGUCACUUUUCUUGUCUAGGCUUUAAUUUUUGCAUUUUUAGAAGUGUGAGGGCGAGUCAGUGGAGUAAACUGGAUUGCAGUUAAGCUUUGGAAAUAUAAUACUAACACUUAAAUUCAAAUCUCUUAGCCAAGUCAGUAAGAUGCUUACUUGUGCACUAGUUCCCUUCUCCACUGGGUGAAAGGUUAUUAUAGGGAUUGAAAUAGCCAUCAAGGGCCUGACACAUGGAAGCUAUUAUGAUUCAGUGCCUUCUUUAUGUGUAAGUAGAUGGUGUCUAUGUGGUUUGAGUUCCCCAGUGGCUGGAACUGUUGAAGUGUGAUCCCAGGGAGGGAUACCUGGGUUGGAUUCCCACUGCUAUAACCUCCUAGCUGUCUGAUGACCCUGGGCAAAUUCAAUGUUUAUUUAUAAAAUUGAGACCUUUUUUUUGCCUCCCAGAGUUGUUGUGAGGGUCAAUAAUAUAAAACUUAUAACUCUUGUUGGGGGAAGUAUUUAUUUCACAUUUAUGUAUCCACAUGGAGUGACUUCUGGAUGUGUUCCCUAUCUCCCACACAGGGGUGAGAACAAACUUAUUUGCCUGGUGAAUUUGGGAGAAGGAUCUGAGCUCAGCCCCUUCCUUUUCCUUUUCUGGAACCAACCUGCUCUCAUGUUACAAGCUUGGCAGUAUGUGCCUCAAGUCUGCCAGGAUGAUCUUCUCCUGUCGUAUCUGCCCUGCCACACUUGGUUGGCCCUUAUAGACAAGACUGUGUUGUAAUUAUCAUCACACCCUUCAAAGUGUAUACCUGUCAUUCUUCAUCUAUCUAUCCAUCUACCUACCCACAACUCAGCGAGCCUCUACUUUGUGCUAGACCUGUGAACUCAUAGCCCUGAGCAUAAUUAUAUGCUGAGUCCUACGAAUCUUCCUAGGAAAUCACAUAUAUAUGAAUGAAACAUUUUAUAUCGAUUUUUAAAUGCUCACUACAUGCCUCUGAAGCAGUCAAGCAGUUUAUUGUGGUUUAAUGAUGAGAUGCAUGUGCUGAGGAGGUAAUCAGAAGAAGUGAGAAAAGGAGACGGUGUGAAAUUUUGAAGAUUUUAUAUGCCAUGAUGCAGAAAUAAAAGUUCAGCAGGGUCAAGUAAGUUGUCCAAUGUUCAGUAUGAUGGAGUGGGAUUCACAUGCAAGACUAACUACCACUGAACCAUUUACUUCUGACUUUGCUAUUCUGCUUCCACUCACUGAACAUCUCUCUGAGCAAGGCUCAGCACCUGGUAUGAAGGCUGAAACAAGAGCGGUUGCACAGCAAAUGUUUUGCUAUAAUGAGAGAAUACAUGAAUUAAAUGCGAAUUAAACUGCUUCUA